GAUGAACGCUGGCGGCGUACCUAAUACAUGCAAGUCGAGCGAACAGACGAGGAGCUUGCUCCUCUGACGUUAGCGGCGGACGGGUGAGUAACACGUGGAUAACCUACCUAUAAGACUGGGAUAACUUCGGGAAACCGGAGCUAAUACCGGAUAAUAUAUUGAACCGCAUGGUUCAAUAGUGAAAGACGGUUUUGCUGUCACUUAUAGAUGGAUCCGCGCCGCAUUAGCUAGUUGGUAAGGUAACGGCUUACCAAGGCGACGAUGCGUAGCCGACCUGAGAGGGUGAUCGGCCACACUGGAACUGAGACACGGUCCAGACUCCUACGGGAGGCAGCAGUAGGGAAUCUUCCGCAAUGGGCGAAAGCCUGACGGAGCAACGCCGCGUGAGUGAUGAAGGUCUUCAGAUCGUAAAACUCUGUUAUUAGGGAAGAACAAAUGUGUAAGUAACUAUGCACGUCUUGACGGUACCUAAUCAGAAAGCCACGGCUAACUACGUG
Molecule: ribosomal RNA, 497 nt
Filed under: uncultured bacterium
Lineage: Bacteria
Description: partial 16S ribosomal RNA
Rfam family: Bacterial small subunit ribosomal RNA
Source: RNAcentral